AUAACACUAUAAAUAAAAGGAACUAUUAGAUUUCAAAUUUAUUUAUACAUAAAAUAUUUUUUUCUAAACACAAUUUAAACAUUUAAACAAUAGUAAAAGGUAGGAACACUAAUAAAGAAAGUAGUAUUUUAGCUGAUGCUAAUUAAUAAAAUAACAUAAAAAUGAUAAAGUUUAUCGCAGUGACUUGCAUUCUUAUAAAUUAAAAUAGAUAAUUAAUUUAAGAAGUGUAACUGUCAAAGAAAAUACUUCAAAUUUCAAAAAGAUCAUAACCUGAAAAAUCAUGAGACAGAGCCAUUUCUAUAAUAAAAUGAAAACAAAAAAAAAUAAGUAUCCAAAAUAUCCUUAUAAGAUGACUAAUUAAAGGUACAUAUAUAAGAAAAGAAUUUAUAUAAAUUUGUUUGUCAUAUUUAAAUAGAAUUCAAGUGAAAGAAAUUGUAAACUGUAGCAUGUUUAUAUAAUGAGCUACUAGGAGCAGCUGCUCUUAAGUGCAGCUAAAUAGGCGCUUCUGUGUCUUGUAGGAGGGUCAUUGCCAAUAUACUCGAUCAAACUCUGAUAUGGAAACAAACCUUCUAAAAUGAAAAAUAACUAUAUUUUCAGUUUUAAUGCAACAUUUUUAUUUCGUGUAAUAUACUGAACCUGAUGUAUAAUUACCCAUAAAAUCAAUUACUAAUCUAAUCAUAUCUUGGAAAAGAAAUUUAAUCUCUGCAACCAGACCAUCACUGACCAGGUGUCGCAAAGUGUUCAAAGAACAAUUGCAGUAAAACUAAAUAGAAUUCAAAAACUCUCACUCGAAAUAUGUUUAAAUCUCAAUCAAUUUCAGCUAUUAGACAUGUUAUAAGGAGAGAGAAAUAGAAAGCCCCAAGAACAAUUAUGGAAAAGAAUAUUGAAGAAAGAAGAGGAAGACCAAAAACGAGAGGGAGGGAUGUUAUUGAAUGUGAUAUUAUGUAGGAGACUGUAUCAAGUGUGGGUAUCAAAAGGGUGCCCAACCUCAAGUAGUUGUGAUAAAGCCGAGGAAAAAGAUUUCCUUCCCUUUUAGUGACAUAUUUUUCCAAUCUACAACAAGCAUAUCACAAUCAUCAUUAUAAUUUGGAGUUUUGUUCUCAAAAUUAUUUUCAACCACAGAGUUAUUUUGAGAAUAAUUAUUGGAAGCUUUAUGCGUUUGACCUCGUAUGAAUAUUGGUACGGACUUGUUAUUUGAAGGUAUAGUUUUAAAUUGAUAUUGUUUCCAUUC
This is a long non-coding RNA of Daktulosphaira vitifoliae (grape phylloxera), 1231 nucleotides long. RefSeq lists it as uncharacterized. Lineage: Eukaryota; Metazoa; Arthropoda; Insecta; Hemiptera; Phylloxeridae. The transcript is spliced from 6 exons. The record is from RefSeq and is a predicted model, not a curated record.